AGCAGCCGCGGUAAUUCCAGCUCCAAUAGCGUAUAUUAAAGUUGUUGCAGUUAAAAAGCUCGUAGUUGAAUUUCGGGGUCAGUAAGUUGGUCGUGCCACUGGUAUGUACUGGCUUUACUGAUUCCUCCUUCUUGUAGAACCGUAAUGCCAUUAAGUUGGUGUUGCGGGGAAACAGGACUGUUACUUUGAAAAAAUUAGAGUGUUUAAAGCAAGCUAACGCUUGAAUACAUUAGCAUGGAAUAAUGAAAUAGGACGAGCGAUCCUAUUUUGUUGGUUUCUAGAAUUGACGUAAUGAUUAAUAGGGAUAGUUGGGGGCAUUAGUAUUCAAUUGUCAGAGGUGAAAUUCUUGGAUUUAUUGAAGACUAACUACUGCGAAAGCAUUUGCCAAGGAUGUUUUCAUUAAUCAAGAACGAAAGUUAGGGGAUCGAAGACGAUCAGAUACCGUCGUAGUCUUAACCAUAAACUAUGCCGACUAGGGAUCGGAUGAUGUAAUUUUAUAAUGACUCAUUCGGCGCCUUAC
RNAcentral lists this ribosomal RNA (520 nucleotides) under uncultured Glomus. RNAcentral describes it as "SSU rRNA". It matches the Rfam family "Eukaryotic small subunit ribosomal RNA", at positions 569 to 1091 of the family's 1831-position model. The record is from RNAcentral. Lineage: Eukaryota; Fungi; Glomeromycota; Glomeromycetes; Glomerales; Glomeraceae.